AGCGAACGUUAGCGGCGGGCCUAACACAUGCAAGUCGAGCGAGAAAGUGGCUUCGGCCAUCAGUAAAGCGGCGGACGGGUGAGUAACACGUAGGUAAUCUUCCCUUGAGCGGGGGACAACGAGCCGAAAGGCUCGCUAAUACCGCAUAAGUUUCCAGAGACUCUGGUCUUUGGAAAGGAAAGCUAGGCCGCAAGGUCCGGCACUCGAGGAGGAGCCUGCGUCGCAUCAGCAGUUGGUGGGGUAAGUGGCCUACCAAGGCGAAGACGCGUAGCUGGUCUGAGAGGAUGAUCAGCCACACUGGGACUGAGACACGGCCCAGACUCC
Molecule: ribosomal RNA, 324 nt
Filed under: uncultured bacterium
Lineage: Bacteria
Description: bacterial SSU rRNA
Rfam family: Bacterial small subunit ribosomal RNA
Source: RNAcentral